GGUUGUGGCUCAGCGGUAGAGUGCUUGUCUCACACGCGCGGGACCCUGGGUUCGAUCCUCAGCACCA
This 67-nucleotide transfer RNA is filed under the name Marmota monax (woodchuck). RNAcentral describes it as "tRNA.Val". Lineage: Eukaryota; Metazoa; Chordata; Mammalia; Rodentia; Sciuridae. The record is from RNAcentral.